Molecule: ribosomal RNA, 497 nt
Filed under: uncultured bacterium
Lineage: Bacteria
Description: partial 16S ribosomal RNA
Rfam family: Bacterial small subunit ribosomal RNA
Source: RNAcentral
GAUGAACGCUGGCGGCGUGCCUAAUACAUGCAAGUCGAGCGAACGGACGAGAAGCUUGCUUCUCUGAUGUUAGCGGCGGACGGGUGAGUAACACGUGGAUAACCUACCCAUAAGACUGGGAUAACUUCGGGAAACCGUAGCUAAUACCGGAUAAUAUUUUGAACCGCAUGGUUCAAAAGUGAAAGAGGGUCUUGCUGUCACUUAUAGAUGGAUCCGCGCUGCAUUAGCUAGUUGGUAAGGUAACGGCUUACCAAGGCAACGAUGCAUAGCCGACCUGAGAGGGGGAUCGGCCACACUGGAACUGAGACACGGUCCAGACUCCUACGGGAGGCAGCAGUAGGGAAUCUUCCGCAAUGGGCGAAAGCCUGACGGAGCAACGCCGCGUGAGUGAUGAAGGUCUUCGGAUCGUAAAACUCUGUUAUUAGGGAAGAACAUAUGUGUAAGUAACUGUGCACAUCUUGACGGUACCUAAUCAGAAAGCCACGGCUAACUACGUG